GGGCCCAUAGUUUAAAGGCUAGAAUAUCGCAUUUGCAAUGCGAUGAUGGCAGUUCGAUUCUGCCUGGGUCCACCA
Molecule: transfer RNA, 75 nt
Filed under: Parcubacteria group bacterium
Lineage: Bacteria
Description: tRNA-Ala
Rfam family: tRNA
About the family: Transfer RNA (tRNA) molecules are approximately 80 nucleotides in length. Their secondary structure includes four short double-helical elements and three loops (D, anti-codon, and T loops).
Source: RNAcentral